GAGUUUGAUCUUGGCUCAGGAUUAACGCUAGCGGCAGGCCUAAUACAUGCAAGUCGAACGGCAGCGGGUGUAGCAAUACAUGCCGGCGAGUGGCGCACGGGUGCGUAACGCGUAUGCAACUUACCUAUAACUGGGGAAUAGCUCUCCGAAAGGAGAAUUAAUACCGCAUAAUAUCACGAGAUGGCAUCGUUUUGUGAUCAAAAACUCCGGUGGUUAUAGAUAGGCAUGCGUGACAUUAGCUAGUUGGUGAGGUAACGGCUCACCAAGGCUACGAUGUCUAGGGGGUCUGAGAGGAUGAUCCCCCACACUGGUACUGAGACACGGGACCAGACUCCUACGGGAGGCAGCAGUAAGGAAUAUUGGACAAUGGCCGCAAGGCUGAUCCAGCCAUGCCGCGUGCCAGGAUGAAGGUGCUCUGCAUUGUAAACUG
RNAcentral lists this ribosomal RNA (430 nucleotides) under uncultured Sphingobacterium sp. Its description in RNAcentral is "bacterial SSU rRNA". It matches the Rfam family "Bacterial small subunit ribosomal RNA", at positions 9 to 432 of the family's 1533-position model. The record is from RNAcentral. Lineage: Bacteria; Pseudomonadati; Bacteroidota; Sphingobacteriia; Sphingobacteriales; Sphingobacteriaceae.